Molecule: non-coding RNA, 30 nt
Filed under: Homo sapiens (human)
Lineage: Eukaryota; Metazoa; Chordata; Mammalia; Primates; Hominidae
Source: RNAcentral
UUCUUCCUCAGGGACUACAUGCCACAGACC